AAAAGACACACCACUCUUCCACCACUUCCACCCGAUGCCCAACCUCCCCCGAUCUCGCUGCCGCCCCCCGCUUCCCCUGCCUUCCGGCGCCGCCGCCCCCCGCUUACCCUGCCACACGGCGCCGCCGCCCCCCGCUUCCCCUGCAUCCAGGCGCUGCCGCCCUCCCGCUUCCCCUGCCCCGAGGCGCCGCUGACCCAACCUCCCGCGUGCCACCUGACUUCCUUCCCCCGCCGCCCCUUGCUCCGGUGGGCCUCCCACCGCUACCAACCGGCGUCGGAACCGUCCCUCGCCCUGGAUCGCACCGCCGUCACUGCCCACGAUGGGGAUCGCGCCACAGGCACCGUCCCACGAUGGGGAUCGAGCCGCAGGCACCGUCCCAUGAUGGGGAUCGCGCCACUGCAACCGCAUCGCCCCACCUCCCGUCGUCGGGAUCCUGCUGCCGCGCGACAACCACCGGGAUCCUCCCACCGUGCGACCUUCCUUCACCUGCCACCGUGAACUUCUUCCACCCUCCACCGUGACCUUCUUCCCUCCCCCGCCUCGAUCCUGACAUGGCUCCAUGUUUCGUUGAUGUUGUAGGCGGUCGCUACUCACGCCGCGCGCGUGUGGCGGUGGACGGACGCGAUGGUUUCCUUUGACAUGAACGACCGCAAAGAGUGGCUCGUCGGAUGCUGUUGCCGUGGAUGACGAUGAUCUCGUUCUCGAUAGGAGAAUGAAGAGACACAGGAGAGGGGACGAGGAUCAUGUGCUCACCGUGCAACACAGCGUCACCUCUUCGCUCCGGAGCGUCGGGAUUCUUGCUAGAGAGCAUUCAGUGUCGGAUUUCCUAAUGUGUAUUGUCCUUCUUUCAUUUGUGGUCCACUGUUUGCUGUUGUUGGUUUACAGGUUUGGAAGGCAGCCAUGCUGCUAACCUGACUUUGUGUUGCACAAGAGCUUCACGUCGUCUGAAUUCGACGGUGUUACUGCCAUGGAGAUCGGUGUUGGGACAGGUGAUGGCUUGUUAUGAAAUUUAGUGAAUGAGAAAAUUGUGUUGUGCUUGUA
This is a long non-coding RNA of Triticum dicoccoides, 1041 nucleotides long. RefSeq lists it as uncharacterized. The record is from RefSeq and is a predicted model, not a curated record. NCBI's taxonomy places the organism in Eukaryota, Viridiplantae, Streptophyta, Magnoliopsida, Poales, Poaceae. The transcript has 3 exons.